AGGGAGCGUAGGCGGCUGAUUAAGUCAGCGGUGAAAGGUAGCAGCUUAACUGUUUUACAUGCCGUUGAUACUGGUUAGCUUGAGUUGACAGAAGGCAGAUAGAAUUCCUGGUGUAGCGGUGAAAUGCUUAGAUACCAGGAGGAAUACCGAUUGCGAAGGCAGUCUGCUGCAGUCACACUGACGCUGAGGCUCGAAGGUGCGGGGAUCAAACAGGAUUAGAUACCCCUGGU
RNAcentral lists this ribosomal RNA (230 nucleotides) under uncultured bacterium. RNAcentral's name for it is "partial 16S ribosomal RNA". It matches the Rfam family "Bacterial small subunit ribosomal RNA", at positions 564 to 791 of the family's 1533-position model. The record is from RNAcentral.